ACGUAGGGACCAAGCGUUGUUCGGAUUUACUGGGCGUAAAGGGCGCGUAGGCGGCGCGGUAAGUCACUUGUGAAAUCUCUGAGCUUAACUCAGAACGGCCAAGUGAUACUGCAGUGCUAGAGUGUGGAAGGGGCAAUCGGAAUUCUUGGUGUAGCGGUGAAAUGCGUAGAUAUCGGGAGGAACACCUGUGGCGAAGGCGGCCCCCUGGUUGGAUACUGACGCUGAGACGCGAAAGCGUGGGGAGCAAACAGGA
RNAcentral lists this ribosomal RNA (253 nucleotides) under uncultured prokaryote. RNAcentral describes it as "partial 16S ribosomal RNA". It matches the Rfam family "Bacterial small subunit ribosomal RNA", at positions 525 to 777 of the family's 1533-position model. The record is from RNAcentral.